UUUCCCCAGGAUGAAGAAUGAGGCCACACUGCCAAAGCAAGAUCUCGUGCUAUGUGUGAUUGAAUCUCCUGCUGGGCGCCAAGCAGGAAUCUCAUCAUUUCCCCACAGGCCCUGAGAGCACACAGGCCUCAUCCCCACCCCACCACAGUGCAGUGCACUCACUGCAGAGCCAAUGAGGCCUGAGCUCAGGGUCUGCGUCUGCCUGCAUCUGCAUGGCCACUUCCAUCUGUGGUACUUGUUAGUUUAUUUUAAAUGUGCGAUUUGUUUGGUUGCAUUUUCUCCUUCUAAAUAUACAGUAGUUUUUGCA
Molecule: long non-coding RNA, 307 nt
Organism: Homo sapiens (human)
Lineage: Eukaryota; Metazoa; Chordata; Mammalia; Primates; Hominidae
Source: Ensembl